GCCUUCGUGAUGUAGUGGUCAGCACGCUCGACGCGUAACCGAGAGGUCCGUGGUUCGAUUCUCGGCGAAGGCG
This 73-nucleotide transfer RNA is filed under the name Stegodyphus mimosarum. It matches the Rfam family "tRNA". From Rfam's summary of the family: Transfer RNA (tRNA) molecules are approximately 80 nucleotides in length. Their secondary structure includes four short double-helical elements and three loops (D, anti-codon, and T loops). The record is from Rfam by way of RNAcentral. Lineage: Eukaryota; Metazoa; Arthropoda; Arachnida; Araneae; Eresidae.